CACAGAAGUAACAAGAAGCCUUGGUGCGCCACAACAGCGACAUCAGGAUAAGCUAGUAAACAUUUGUAAUACAGGUUGUAGCAUUCGGUAGUCAGGCACAUUUUUAGGUUAGUGAGAUCAAUAUUUCAGCAGUUUAGGUCCUCGUUUGGAUUAGAUGAUUUAGCAAGAUGCACAUGUCAGGGAAGAGUAUUCAGAGGAGUGACAAAGAAGGAACACCUGAAAUGUAUAAUCCUAAUAUAAACACACUGUACAGUUAAAUAUAUGCUAAAUGUGUGACUCUAGUGUGACCUGAGAGACAGUGCACAUUUUAUAUUAUUAGGGGAAAAACAUAGUUGCACGAAGAGCCUAUACCUCUCAGCUUUUAGUAUUGUAUUAUCUGGCUUAUCCUGCCGCUCUCACAGUUAACAUGCUUAGUGGGUAUGGCUAGACCCUGUUGCUAAAGUUUGUCAUUGUUGUCACAUCUAGCCUUAAUUAGCUGAGUGUGCUAUAGCAAGAUUUAACAAAUUAUGAAACCACUGGUAACGAUUAUUUACAAAAAGAAAACACUAAUCAAUUGAAAAGAACUGCUUUGAUACUGUAGGCUAGUUGCAUAGGUGGGCUUGGAGUUUGCCUUUAUGUCUGAAGCCUGUGCUAGCAUAUGAGGAGUAUUUAAGGUUAAC
Pelobates cultripes (western spadefoot toad) is the source of this 659-nucleotide non-coding RNA. The record is from the annotation of a GenBank genome assembly. Lineage: Eukaryota; Metazoa; Chordata; Amphibia; Anura; Pelobatidae.